RNAcentral lists this ribosomal RNA (495 nucleotides) under uncultured bacterium. Its description in RNAcentral is "partial 16S ribosomal RNA". It matches the Rfam family "Bacterial small subunit ribosomal RNA", at positions 28 to 505 of the family's 1533-position model. The record is from RNAcentral.
GAUGAACGCUGGCGGCGUGCCUAAUACAUGCAAGUCGAGCGAACGGACGAGAAGCUUGCUUCUCUGAUGUUAGCGGCGGACGGGUGAGUAACACGUGGAUAACCUACCUAUAAGACUGGGAUAACUUCGGGAAACCGGAGCUAAUACCGGAUAAUAUUUUGAACCGCAUGGUUCAAAAGUGAAAGACGGUCUUGCUGUCACUUAUAGAUGGAUCCGCGCUGCAUUAGCUAGUUGGUAAGGUAACGGCUUACCAAGGCAACGAUGCAUAGCCGACCUGAGAGGGGGAGCGGCCACACGGGAACUGAGACCCGGUCCAGACUCCUAGGGGGGGCAGCAGUAGGGAAUCUUCCGAAAGGGGCGAAAGCCGGACGGGGCACCGCCGCGUGAGUGAGGAAGGUUUUCGGAUUGGAAACCUCUUUUUUUAGGGAAAAAAAUAUGUGUAAGUAACUGGCCACAUCUUGCCGGGACCUAAACAGAAGGCCACGGCUAACUACG